AGUGGAAUUGUUGGAUUGUAUGCUAAUUUGAUUUUACACUUUUUGAGGGACCACAGAACUACUUUCCAUAGUGGCUCUACCACUUUACAUUCCCACCAACAGU
Molecule: microRNA precursor, 103 nt
Filed under: Marmota monax (woodchuck)
Lineage: Eukaryota; Metazoa; Chordata; Mammalia; Rodentia; Sciuridae
Source: RNAcentral